CCCUUUGCCCAACAUCUCCUCAUUUCCCCACCUCCCAGUCCCUGGCAACCACCAGUCUACUCUGUUUUUAUGAGUUAGGCUUUUAUAAAUUCAACGUACAGUGCUGGAGAGCAGUGGGUACUGUCCCCAAGCCCUUGCCCAGCCAAGGAGAAGAAGUUUCACUGGAUGGAGAAACAGGAGACAGAGGAGCAGACCUGGUCUUCCAUCUAGGCAAGGUGACUGGGACCGGUUUUGACCCUGGGAUGAGCACUUUCCUCAGGAUGAUGUGAGAUCUCUGAAGAUGGAAGUGGGAUUGAUCUCUUCGUUCAAGAUUCCAACAGUCUCCUCACUGGAAUCAAAGUCCCCUGAAGGCGGAACUUCAGCUGCUUUAUCCCUGCUCUAUCCACAGCCUUGGAACAGUGCCUGGAGAUGCUCAGGAAGUAUCUGCUAGACAGAUUCAAGUAAAACCCUGUCUUAGUCAGCUCAGGUUGCCAUAACAAAACACCACAGACUGGGUGGCUUAAACAGCAGAUAUC
Non-coding RNA from Equus caballus (horse), 515 nucleotides. NCBI's taxonomy places the organism in Eukaryota, Metazoa, Chordata, Mammalia, Perissodactyla, Equidae. The record is from RefSeq and is a predicted model, not a curated record.